RNAcentral lists this ribosomal RNA (430 nucleotides) under bacterium. Its description in RNAcentral is "partial 16S ribosomal RNA". It matches the Rfam family "Bacterial small subunit ribosomal RNA", at positions 355 to 776 of the family's 1533-position model. The record is from RNAcentral.
UGGGGAAUAUUGGACAAUGGGCGGAAGCCUGAUCCAGCCAUGCCGCGUGUGUGAAGAAGGCCUUUUGGUUGUAAAGCACUUUAAGCGAGGAGGAGGCUACUUGGAUUAAUACUCUAGGAUAGUGGACGUUACUCGCAGAAUAAGCACCGGCUAACUCUGUGCCAGCAGCCGCGGUAAUACAGAGGGUGCGAGCGUUAAUCGGAUUUACUGGGCGUAAAGCGUGCGUAGGCGGCUUCUUAAGUCGGAUGUGAAAUCCCUGAGCUUAACUUAGGAAUUGCAUUCGAUACUGGGAAGCUAGAGUAUGUGAGAGGAUGGUAGAAUUCCAGGUGUAGCGGUGAAAUUCGUAGAGAUCUGGAGGAAUACCGAUGGCGAAGGCAGCCAUCUGGCCUAAUACUGACGCUGAGGUACGAAAGCAUGGGGAGCAAACAGG